RNAcentral lists this non-coding RNA (25 nucleotides) under Callithrix jacchus (white-tufted-ear marmoset). Lineage: Eukaryota; Metazoa; Chordata; Mammalia; Primates; Cebidae. RNAcentral also lists the same sequence under 5 other names. The record is from RNAcentral.
AGUCUCAUAAUCUGAAGGUCGUGAG